AUGGGGUUUCCUUUUGCCCAGGUGGCGAAAGUUACGGGACUUGGUUUCCCCAAGACCGGCAGCAGCAUAAGAGCAGAGCUGGGGCAUCGGCCUCUGCCCGGGGGCCCCAAGAUCCGGCUCCCCACGAGGCUGGCGCUCGCCGGCCCGCCCCCCCCCGAGCAUCAUGGUCAAUGGGGAGGCAUCUGUGGGAUGCCAGCGGCUGGACGCUCUGUCGGGAGGUCUGUCCACCUCCAGAGAGGCAGAGGCGGGGCAGUAGACGGUGGGCAGCUGCCGGGAGAGCCUGUGGGGCCUGGCUACCUGGGGUGGCAUGCAGCCGGUCGGGAUGCCACUCACCGCCAGGACGCGAGCUGUGCCCUGAAGUGCGGGCUGCUGGGGUCGGCAAAGCCGCGAGCACCAGCACUUGUCCCCUGCCUGAGCCACCUUCCUUGGCGCCAUCUGUCCUCGGAACUCAGGCUCGGGGCCUCCGUGCCGACACGUGGCUGUGGGAGUCUGCAUGGGCCACGUGCAGAAGACCACCUAGUGAGUGGCAGCUGUGCCUGGGGCUCAAAGCCAGACGGUCGCCCACGCUGCCCGCAGCUCAGCAGGUCCUUCCAGGGCUCCCGGACGUCCAGCAGGGCCAGGUUCUGCCUGCUACGGGGCCCAGACCAGGGCCCAGCACCACCUUCUUGGUUCGUGGGAGGCCCCAGCCCUCUGGGAUGUGGUUGGCACUGCUGGCAGGGUCUGGUCCAUGCCCCAGCUCCUGCAGGUCAGUGGGAUACUCACCAGGACCAGCUGGCCCUGGGGAAGGCCCCUGUUGUGCCCCUCCCACCCUGGUCUGUCCCCAGUCCUGCUCCACCAUACAGGUUGAUUCCUGGGACCCUUGGAGUCCCUUCUGGCUGUCUUCAGCCAAUCAGAGGCUUUGCGGGGCGGCGAGAAGGCCAGAGGAAGCAGGUGGGGCGUUCCCUGCCCAGCCUCUGGCUCCUUCACGCUCCUGGUGAGGCGCCCCCUGCAGGCUGGGGCUGGGGCAGCCCUCACCUAGAUAGACCUUGGAGGGUCCCGUCCCCUGACCCCUGGCCCCUGGCCCCAACCCCGGCCCCUGCUCUCUUCCAUUCACCACUUUCAAUGGGUUGCUACUUCCCGCCAGGACCUUGCUGUUCUACCUGA
RNAcentral lists this long non-coding RNA (1143 nucleotides) under Oryctolagus cuniculus (rabbit). RNAcentral describes it as "lncRNA (ENSOCUG00000031617.1)". Lineage: Eukaryota; Metazoa; Chordata; Mammalia; Lagomorpha; Leporidae. The record is from RNAcentral.